AGAGUUUGAUUAUGGCUCAGAUUGAACGCUGGCGGCAGGCCUAACACAUGCAAGUCGAGCGGAAGCACAAAGCAGGCUACUUCUUAUGUGGCACAGCGGGGGACGGGGGAGUAAUGCCUCUGGAUCUGCCCCCGCUAGGGGGAUAACACUUGGACACAACUGCUAAUACCCCACACCCCCUACAAGGGGAGAGAACGGGACCUUCUGGCCUUCCGCAAUUGCAUAAACCUAAGUGGGAUUUUCUAGAUGGUGAGGUAAUGGCUCACCACGAUGACAAUCCCUACCUGUUCUGAGAUGAUGAUCACCCGCACUGGGACACAGACACGACCCCCACUCCCACGGGAGGCAGCGAAGGGGAAUAUAUCGCAAAGGGGGAGACCCUGAUACGCCCCUGCCGCGUGUGUGAACAACGCCUUCUGGUUGUAUAUCACUUUCUAUGAAGGGGAAAAGGUGUAUAUUUUUACGCUAUAUCUGUGACGUUACCUACACAACAAAGACACGCUAUCUCCCCGCCCGCACCCCCGCUAAUACGUGAGAGUCCCAGCGUUAAUCACAGUUACUGGGCGUAACGCGUGCGCACGCGGUUUGUGAAUCGAGAUGUGAAAGCCCUGUGCUCACCACCAGAAUACAAUUUCGCACUGGCGAACUAGAGUCUUGUAGAGGGGGGUAGAAUUUCAGGUGUAGCGGUGAAAUGCGUAGAGAUCUGAAGGAAUACCGGUGGCGAAGGCGGCCCCCUGGACAAAGACUGACGCUCAUGUACGAAAGCGUGGGGAGCAAACAGGAUUAGAUACCCUGGUAGUCCACGCCGUAAACGAUGUCUACUCGGAGUUUGGUAACUUAGUUACUGGGCUCCCAAGCUAACGCAUUAAGUAUCCCGCCUGGGGAGUACGGCCGCAAGGUUAAAACUCAAAUGAAUUGACGGGGGCCCGCACAAGCGGUGGAGCAUGUGGUUUAAUUCGAUGCAACGCGAAGAACCUUACCAUCCCUUGACAUCCACAGAGAUUUCCAGAGAUGGAUUUGUACCUUCGGGAACUGUGAGACAGGUGCUGCAUGGCUGUCGUCAGCUCGUGUUGUGAAAUGUUGGGUUAAGUCCCGCAACGAGCGCAACCCCUAUCCUUAUUUGCCAGCGCGUUAUGGCGGGAACUCUAAGGAGACUGCCGGUGAUAAACCGGAGGAAGGUGGGGACGACGUCAAGUCAUCAUGGCCCUUACGGGAUGGGCUACACACGUGCUACAAUGGCAAGUACAUAGGGCAGCAAUACCGCGAGGUGGAGCGAAUCCCAAAAAGCCGGUCUCAGUUCGGAUUGGAGUCUGCAACUCGACUCCAUGAAGUUGGAAUCGCUAGUAAUCGCGUAUCAGCGUGACGCGGUGAAUACGUUCCCGGGCCUUGUACACACCGCCCGUCACACCAUGGGAGUGGGUUGCAAAAGAAGUGGCUAGUCUACCCUUCGGGAGGACGGUCACCACUUUGUGAUUCAUGACUGGGGUGAAGUCGUAACAAGGUAACCG
Molecule: ribosomal RNA, 1508 nt
Filed under: uncultured prokaryote
Description: partial 16S ribosomal RNA
Rfam family: Bacterial small subunit ribosomal RNA
Source: RNAcentral